Molecule: long non-coding RNA, 3418 nt
Organism: Diorhabda carinulata
Lineage: Eukaryota; Metazoa; Arthropoda; Insecta; Coleoptera; Chrysomelidae
Exons: 3
Source: RefSeq, a predicted model, not a curated record
UACUACAGUCCAAGGUCAUUUUACAAUCGAAAAGUCGUUUACGAAUAUUAUUUUCAAAUUCUUGAAAACGUGAUUGAAGAAUAGGCAACAAUGUUAAACUUUGAAAACAAUUAACACAAAUAGUUUUACCACAUUCUUUUAUAUCACUCAUAUAAGACUCUCCACAACAUUCACAUUUUUUAAAAUUGUCCAUUUUUUUUCACGUUCUUAAGCCGGAUCUGUUUCGUUACAGUAACAAAAACCGAUGAUAAAGACGUUCCAGUUUUUUUUUAUCGUAGUUAGAAUGUUUUGUCUACGAAAUCGCACGAAAAUUGUUGAUCGACAAAUAAAAAAUGUUUAGUUGUUCCAACUAGUUUCGAUACUUGAAUAUUAAUAAGUAUUUUCUGAAUGUUAAGUAAAUUGAAUGAAAAGUUGAGAAUGUCGAAAUAGAGAAAAAAAGAUUUUGAAGUUAAAAAAAUAUAUGGCGUUUAUAUUGAAGAAAUAUACAGGGUUUUUCAUUUGAAAAAACCGUAUUGGAAAUAACUUCCCAUUCAAACUACUAAAAACGACGCCAUACAUAAUAAAAUAUGGAAACGUCACUUACCUGGAACAGUUCGGUUUGUAGAGAUUCGUAGGGGCGGGCGUUGGGAACGGCGGCGCACCGAGCCUCCUCUCCGCCGUCUCCUUGAUCUUGAACAACAUUAGAACGUUCAAAACAAAAAAUAUUCGGUAAAGAUCGCGUCGACAUCGCGUUCAGAGAAAAGGAUUUCCUCAACCCCGAACCGUUACAAUUUUUCGGCGUACUAGAAUUCAACACUCUAUAUAACAUCUUCGGAGUUGGAGAAUGAACUUUUUUCGUUAAGGGACUUUUGGAUAAGAGACAUUUAUUUUUAACGGGGGACGAAUAAAUCGGGAUGGUAUUACCUCGGGCAAGGAAACUGCUCAUUUCGUCCAAGCAGCUGUUGUAAUGGGAGGAAAGGGAAUAGCGUUUCGAGGAAAGCAACUUCUCCAGAUCCUGUUGUUUGUAAUCCAAAACCUAAACACCAAAAAUUUCGAUUCGAUUAAAUUAAAUUAAAAUUUCGUUCCCCUCACCUCGUUUUCAGUUAAAACUUGUUCGAGCUCGGUCAUUUUUUCGCAUAAUUUUAGUCGAAGUUCGUCGUUUAUUUUCGAAAAAGUCGAUAUUUCGUGUUCCUUCAUCUCCAAUUCGGUUCUAAAACCAAAAAUUUCGUUUUCCAAAUUUUGUUUAGUCUUCGCGAAAUGCGCUUCCUGUUCCACUAUCUGCGAAACGUUAAAACGUCAAAAACCAAAACUUCUUCGGAAAACAAUCUCGACAUUUUACCUCUUUCUCUAAUUUUUGAGCGUACUGGUUCAAUUGAACGUUAUCCUUCUCGAAAAACGUCAAUUUUUUGUUGAGUUCUUCUAUUCGCUUUUUACCCAGGCCGAUCUCAUCCCUCAAUUCGUCUAUGCAAGUUUUAUUUUCCUGCACGUCUUCGUUAACUUGUUGUCCACUAAAAAAGUAACAAAAAGAAGAAGAAUAUAAUGAAAAUCGAAUGAAAAAUAAACGAUAUAUGCGUCCUGGAGCCGGUCCUGUCCGGUUUUAGGAGAAUUCCAAAAUUUGGCGAAGGCGCGACACUUUUCAUAUACCCGGAAUUCGUUUGAUGUUUGUUUUCAUCAUAGUUUUGAACUGGUAUCUACGAAAAUCUAUUUAUUUUCUAGAAUUUGUGAGAAUUUCUUUUGGAUAUAUAAACGAGUUCGUUCAACACGGUUUAGUCUCACUCUCACCAGUUGAUUAAGUGACUUCUUCGAAUGAACACGUUUUCUAAGUGAAGUGCAGUGUUACCGGACUCAGAUAGAACAAGAGGAGACAUUUUGAGACAAUAAUAAAGAAAAAGGAGAAAGAAAAUUGUAACAAACUUGUUGAAACUUAUCCAGAAAUUAAAAAAACAAACAAACUAACGAAGAAAGACGGGUUGGAGACUAGAAAUCAAUAUCCACGUGGCAUUAAGCACAAAUUUACAGAAUUUCUCCAAUAUGGAAGAGAAAACCAACGUGGAAGAUGAAAUUAUGGAUGAAGACUGGGAGGUGAGGGUCCAAGAGCAAAGUGAUAAAACCAAAAACUUUGUUAUUUCAAAAUUUCACAUAAAUUUUGAGGUUAUGUGAAAAAACUAUAAAUACAAAAGUUGUAGAUCUUUUCAUUACCCACAACUUUGCUAAUAAACUUUUCACCAUAAGACUCACAGCUUUACAGAUAAACCGUUUUUUACCCUACCUUAGAUCGAAUUUUUUUUCCAUUUUUAUUAUAUUCUCUUCUUUUUCCGAAACGUAUCAUCUUAAUAUUAUUGGUCUGGUCUAAUAAAAGUGGUAAAAUAUAAUUUUGACAUCUAAUAAUCACCUUUGUAGACGUGUUUUACAUUUCUGUAGUUCCUCUUGUAAUACUUCAUUCUGGUCUUCGGAAAAGGCUAAUUGCACCUUCAACAUCUCCAAUUCGCUGCUAACUUUGUUCAACUGAUGUUGUAAUUGCUUAACUUCUUCUUCUAAUAUAGUCUUUUCAGGUCCACCUAUGCUAAUAUCUUUGGCUUGUUUGGUAGGAGACAGGUUAUAACUUGAAACGUUAGACAGAUUGAGCAGCCCUUCACAAUUUAGAAGUUUUUGUCCGAAACUUGCCCGAGGGGUAGAUUGUGUGUAAGGGAGUAAUUUUUCAUCGAUAACGUUUAAUUGACUACAAAAAAAUAACAUUUUCUUUAUGGUAUAUAUAUAUAGAUAUCGUUUCCGUUCUCACCUAGGGGUUCUAUUGAAGACACCAUCAGCGUCGUCUUCAGAGUGACUAGCUAUUUUUUGUGUCCAUUCAUUCAUAACUGUGAAAAACGUUUCGCCAGUAACAGAUACGUUUUUAUUUUCGGGGUCUAACAUGUUUUUCAAAGUUUCUAAAGCCGAUCUGAAAUUUUGACACAUUUUUUGAUUGAUACAUGAAAUUUCUUAUCAUAAGACAUGCAUCUUUUUCCUUUCUUUAACAAGAUACAUGUAGAAACAAAGAUUUAACCUCUUUGAAGCUGGUACAAUCAUUUUAAUAUGGGUUCCUAAGCAUACAGGAAUAAAAAAUGACAAAACACUUCCCAGGAAGAGAAACCAAAGGACUCUUGUUGGUGUGGAGCUUUAUUUUAUACAGAAAUUUGAUCCUGUGAAAGUAUAUAGGCGAAUGAAAUUCAAAUUCACUUUAUUUGAGGAUGCUCCAGCAAUACUUCAAUAAGAAAUAUAUAAAAUCGAUCUUCCAGCAAAUAGGGCCUUAUAAACUCAAUUAUCUCCGAAGUAGGGACCAUAUUCACGUUUUGGGGGUCACACGAAGAGUAGAUGUUUUUCAUGACAAUUUCCAUUGUUGGACCUAAAAUAAUCAUUGCUAAGAAAUAUAGUUUGAUGAAUAAUAACUUGAAUUAAGUGACAA